Molecule: unclassified non-coding RNA, 347 nt
Filed under: soil metagenome
Description: partial contains 5.8S ribosomal RNA, internal transcribed spacer 2, and large subunit ribosomal RNA
Rfam family: 5.8S ribosomal RNA (bases 1-120)
Source: RNAcentral
GAUGAAGAACGUAGUGAAAUGCGAUAACUAAUGUGAAUUGCAGAAUUCCGUGAAUCAUCGAGUCUUUGAACGCACAUUCCGCCCCCUGGUAUUCCGGGGGGCAUGCCUGUCCGAGCGUCAUUGCUGCCCAUCAAGCACGGCUUGUGUGUUGGGUCCCGUCCCCCUCUCCCGGGGGACGGACCCGAAAGGCAGCGGCGGCACCGCGUCCGGUCCUCGAGCGUAUGGGGCUUUGUCACCCGCUCUUGUAGGCCCGGCCGGCGCUUGCCGACACCCAACCAUUUUUUUCAGGUUGACCUCGGAUCAGGUAGGGAUACCCGCUGAACUUAAGCAUAUCAAUAAGCGGAGGA